This 1025-nucleotide ribosomal RNA is filed under the name Tolypocladium endophyticum. RNAcentral's name for it is "SSU rRNA". It matches the Rfam family "Eukaryotic small subunit ribosomal RNA", at positions 69 to 1106 of the family's 1831-position model. Lineage: Eukaryota; Fungi; Ascomycota; Sordariomycetes; Hypocreales; Ophiocordycipitaceae. The record is from RNAcentral.
GCAAUUAUACAGCGAAACUGCGAAUGGCUCAUUAUAUAAGUUAUCGUUUAUUUGAUAGUACCUUACUACUUGGAUAACCGUGGUAAUUCUAGAGCUAAUACAUGCUAAAAAUCCCGACUUCGGAAGGGAUGUAUUUAUUAGAUUAAAAACCAAUGCCCUCUGGGCUCUCUGGUGAUUCAUGAUAACUUCUCGAAUCGCAUGGCCUUGCGCCGGCGAUGGUUCAUUCAAAUUUCUUCCCUAUCAACUUUCGAUGUUUGGGUAGUGGCCAAACAUGGUUGCAACGGGUAACGGAGGGUUAGGGCUCGACCCCGGAGAAGGAGCCUGAGAAACGGCUACUACAUCCAAGGAAGGCAGCAGGCGCGCAAAUUACCCAAUCCCGACACGGGGAGGUAGUGACAAUAAAUACUGAUACAGGGCUCUUUUGGGUCUUGUAAUUGGAAUGAGUACAAUUUAAAUCCCUUAACGAGGAACAAUUGGAGGGCAAGUCUGGUGCCAGCAGCCGCGGUAAUUCCAGCUCCAAUAGCGUAUAUUAAAGUUGUUGUGGUUAAAAAGCUCGUAGUUGAACCUUGGGCCUGGCUGGCCGGUCCGCCUCACCGCGUGUACUGGUCCGGCCGGGCCUUUCCCUCUGUGGAACCCCAUGCCCUUCACUGGGUGUGGCGGGGAAACAGGACUUUUACUUUGAAAAAAUUAGAGUGCUCCAGGCAGGCCUAUGCUCGAAUACAUUAGCAUGGAAUAAUGAAAUAGGACGUGCGGUUCUAUUUUGUUGGUUUCUAGGACCGCCGUAAUGAUUAAUAGGGACAGUCGGGGGCAUCAGUAUUCAAUUGUCAGAGGUGAAAUUCUUGGAUUUAUUGAAGACUAACUACUGCGAAAGCAUUUGCCAAGGAUGUUUUCAUUAAUCAGGAACGAAAGUUAGGGGAUCGAAGACGAUCAGAUACCGUCGUAGUCUUAACCAUAAACUAUGCCGACUAGGGAUCGGACGAUGUUAUUUUUUGACUCGUUCGGCACCUUACGAGAAAUCAAAGUGC